UCCAAGUUCUAGAUCCGGUUAGCUGUGUAAUGGAAGGUAGUGUGGCGUGUUGUUUGUGUUGACAAUAUUAUUUGUGCUUUUAUGAAGACGCGGUUGCCUUAUUUCACGUAGAGUAAGAGUUUUGUAAUACGACAAGGCCAAGGUUUUAUAAGAGAGCGCCGUAUGUUUUAAUCAAGUGGGCAUUAAACAUUAUUAUGAAAGUAACAAACAGAAAACUGUGUAAGUGUCCUACUGGCAAGGUUAAGCUAAAUAUUAAACAACUUUUGUCUUGGCUCUUGUGCCCAAAUGCAUAAUUAAGGUACAGUGUUUUAGGCUGAGGGUAAAUAAUUACAAUAUUAUUCAUAUACAGUUUGUGUUAAUACACUUGGAAGUUGAUUCGAAGUUACAGUGCAAUUUUCACUAGAUGAAAGUCGAACAGAAGACACAGCAGCUUGGUCACGUAUGCUGCUUUCAACUUCAUUCAACGGAGGAUAUUGAGGUAUAUUCGUUUCGUCAUCAUCAUUGCCAUCUUCUGGGUGUAGUUCAUCCCUCAGCAUUUGAUUCAGACGUCUGGGAUCAUUUGGCCUUAAUGACCCCUUCAUCGUGCUCUCAGUUCUCCAUCUUAAAAUGUUAAUCACCCGACCCAAACGACCUCGAGGAGCCGAUCUCAAUCGAAACUUCUACUUAAUUAAAAGGGAAAUGAAAAGGUUUUCCUCUCAGUUUCCACCGCCGUUACUGUGGCGCGUGCUGUUACAGCGCCAGACGCCUGGAGUGUGUAAUUGCACGGGGUGGGCUGGUUCAUAACGCCUCCGAAUAUUAAUUAUUGGUGCGCAGAUUUGGAGGAACAGAGAAUGAUGUAAGAAACUGGAAGAAUACGAAAGAAUAGACGGACGCAAUGGAUAGAUGGAAUCAGAUAAAAUCAUUGAGAAUUUUCCAUCCUGUGAGCUGCAGAGCGCGACACUGUAAAAACUGCCAGCACAGUAGGAAGGAAGAAAUUAUUUAUUGCGUUUUAAAGAAAGAUGUGCCUACAGAGACCACUGCAUAUUUAUACCGGGCACCUUUCAAAUUACUGCCAUCAGUAAUAUCGUAAUGUCAGGUGAAAAGUCUAUCCUAAUAAGUGAAAUUUUUUAUUAUUGAUAGUACAAAAAGUAUAGUGCUGUGACGGCGUGUCCUAGGUAAAGAAUCCAACAUUUGGGGUUGAAAACAUAUGAUUUCCAAAAACAUUUUCCUUUACACAUUUUUACGCAUUGAGCCAAAUGGCAUACUCCUUCCGGUCCCUGGACUUAUGGGACUGUAUAAUGUCGGGAAAUAGAAUCUUAUUUAAUUUCACACUAUUUCGAGAGAGUUGCACUGAAUGUACUCGAAUUCAUUAUAUUGUUCUAGAUUUUUUUAUAGACUUGUAAAAGUGUCACAAGGAUCUUCAGUCACACACCGACUAAAUUACUUCUAAUUGUUGUGGAAAUUGUUUUUAAAAAAUCUUGUUUAUCCAAGAACUGUGAUAUUUUGAAAUAAAGUUUUAUACUAACCGUGUGAGCUCUCAUUAUAGCGGACCAAAAGUUAUUUUGGUCAGAACAAAAUCUUGUGCCCUGUUUUAAAAUAAAAAUUUAUACCAACCGUG
This is a non-coding RNA of Zootermopsis nevadensis, 1597 nucleotides long. The record is from RefSeq and is a predicted model, not a curated record. NCBI's taxonomy places the organism in Eukaryota, Metazoa, Arthropoda, Insecta, Blattodea, Termopsidae.